Molecule: ribosomal RNA, 441 nt
Filed under: uncultured bacterium
Lineage: Bacteria
Description: partial 16S ribosomal RNA
Rfam family: Bacterial small subunit ribosomal RNA
Source: RNAcentral
CCUACGGGGGGCAGCAGUGGGGAAUAUUGCACAAUGGGGGAAACCCUGAUGCAGCAACGCCGCGUGAGUGAGGAAGUAUUUCGGUAUGUAAAGCUCUAUCAGCAGGGAAUAGAAAAGAAGGUACCUGAAAAAGAAGCCCCGGCUAACUACGUGCCAGCAGCCGCGGUAAUACGUAGGGGGCAAGCGUUAUCCGGAUUUACUGGGUGUAAAGGGAGCGUAGACGGCAGUGCAAGUCUGGAGUGAAAGGCGGGGGCUCAACCCCCGGACUGCUCUGGAAACUGUACGGCUGGAGUGCAGGAGAGGUAAGUGGAAUUCCUAGUGUAGCGGUGAAAUGCGUAGAUAUUAGGAGGAACACCAGUGGCGAAGGCGGCUUACUGGACUGUAACUGACGUUGAGGCUCGAAAGCGUGGGGAGCAAACAGGAUUAGAUACCCUAGUAGUC